AAAAUAAAAUUAAGCCGCUGUUGCGCUGUGCUUAUGUACGAGGCUAAUUAGAAUACUUCCUAUGAUAUACAUUGCCACAUUAAGAUUCAAGUACUUCCCAAUCAGCUAGAACCUCGGCGGUGUAGCCAGCUACGCGCGUUAAAGCCCAGAACUGAAAGCGACGCGUGGUGUGUGGCGAGUUCGAAUCCUCGGUACCUCAGGAAAGAAACGGAUAAUGAUAAAAGAACAACAUACAGUUUUUCUGAAAAGAAAAAUAUGCAACAGGCAAGUGACAGCCCCGCUCUUGCAGUAUUGUUGUAGGUGCACGUAUCUUCUGGGAGUGCACCUUAGUAAAGUGUGCUUGAUGAUGUUAGGCACCCAGGGGCCGGAGGAAACUCGCGCACUGACUAAUGAUCCCCCGCCCGUGGAGGUUUUAGCCGGUAAGAAUCCGGCACUACCUUAUGCCCCACCACUUUGAAUGGGUAUUAAGGUGUUUAUGAAGAUUUCCUCCACGAAAAAAAAAAAAAAAAAAAAUUUUUUUGUGACAUGAGAGGAGAAACUAAUAUUUUAUUGACCCGCGCCAUUUCAGUCAAUAUCUCACGAUUAUGUUGUUAUUAUUACAUUAUAUGUUGUAUAUUAUAUAUUAUAUAUUGUUAUUAUUAUAUUAUAUUAUUAUAUAGUUAUUAUUAUAGGGGUUAACCCUGGAGUGCUGAAUACUUGCGGCCUAUGCCGUCCGUACGGACGGCGCGCGUCUGGCGCUGACGAUCGCUGUGGACGGAAUACUUUUUCAUUAGACUGAACUCUGUUGAUUGACUAUUCAAAGCGCAAAUCGUAAUAA
This 817-nucleotide unclassified non-coding RNA is filed under the name Bombus terrestris (buff-tailed bumblebee). RNAcentral's name for it is "misc RNA ENSBTSG00005028325.1". The record is from RNAcentral. Lineage: Eukaryota; Metazoa; Arthropoda; Insecta; Hymenoptera; Apidae.